RNAcentral lists this ribosomal RNA (271 nucleotides) under Clostridioides difficile. RNAcentral describes it as "partial 16S ribosomal RNA". It matches the Rfam family "Bacterial small subunit ribosomal RNA", at positions 407 to 696 of the family's 1533-position model. Lineage: Bacteria; Bacillati; Bacillota; Clostridia; Peptostreptococcales; Peptostreptococcaceae. The record is from RNAcentral.
GAUGAAGGCCUUCGGGUCGUAAAACUCUGUCCUCAAGGAAGAUAAUGACGGUACUUGAGGAGGAAGCCCCGGCUAACUACGUGCCAGCAGCCGCGGUAAUACGUAGGGGGCUAGCGUUAUCCGGAGUUACUGGGCGUAAAGGGUGCGUAGGCGGUCUUUCAAGUCAGGAGUGAAAGGCUACGGCUCAACCGUAGUAAGCUCUUGAAACUGGGAGACUUGAGUGCAGGAGAGGAGAGUGGAAUUCCUAGUGUAGCGGUGAAAUGCGUAGAUA